Molecule: transfer RNA, 77 nt
Filed under: Streptomyces thermodiastaticus
Lineage: Bacteria; Bacillati; Actinomycetota; Actinomycetes; Kitasatosporales; Streptomycetaceae
Description: tRNA-Gly
Source: RNAcentral
GGUGCGUGCAGGUCGGCGGCCCCGGCGGGCUGCCGGUCCGCCGGCUGCGCGAGCUGUACCACGCGGUGGUGUACUGC